RNAcentral lists this transfer RNA (76 nucleotides) under Candidatus Methanomethylophilaceae archaeon. RNAcentral describes it as "tRNA-Pro". It matches the Rfam family "tRNA". Rfam says of the family: Transfer RNA (tRNA) molecules are approximately 80 nucleotides in length. Their secondary structure includes four short double-helical elements and three loops (D, anti-codon, and T loops). Further hydrogen bonds mediate the characteristic L-shaped molecular structure. tRNAs have two regions of fundamental functional importance: the anti-codon, which is responsible for specific mRNA codon recognition, and the 3' end, to which the tRNAs corresponding amino acid is attached (by aminoacyl-tRNA synthetases). tRNAs cope with the degeneracy of the genetic code in two manners: having more than one tRNA (with a specific anti-codon) for a particular amino acid; and 'wobble' base-pairing, i.e. permitting non-standard base-pairing at the 3rd anti-codon position. The record is from RNAcentral. Lineage: Archaea; Methanobacteriati; Thermoplasmatota; Thermoplasmata; Methanomassiliicoccales; Methanomethylophilaceae.
GGGCCCUUGGGGUAGCUUGGUAUCCUUGUGGCUUCGGGAGCCAUUGACUCCGGUUCAAAUCCGGGGGGGCCCACCA